UUGGCUCAGGAUGAACGCUGGCGGCGUGCUUAACACAUGCAAGUCGAACGGAGAACUUUCUUCGGAAUGUUCUUAGUGGCGAACGGGUGAGUAACGCGUAGGCAACCUGCCCUCUGGUUGGGGACAACAUUCCGAAAGGAAUGCUAAUACCGAAUGAGAUCCUCUUUCCGCAUGGAGAGAGGAUGAAAGAUGGCCUCUACUUGUAAGCUAUCGCCAGAAGAUGGGCCUGCGUCUGAUUAGCUAGUAGGUGAGGUAACGGCUCACCUAGGCGAUGAUCAGUAGCCGGUCUGAGAGGAUGAACGGCCACAUUGGGACUGAGACACGGCCCAAACUCCUACGGGAGGCAGCAGUGGGGAAUA
Molecule: ribosomal RNA, 359 nt
Filed under: uncultured rumen bacterium
Lineage: Bacteria
Description: bacterial SSU rRNA
Rfam family: Bacterial small subunit ribosomal RNA
Source: RNAcentral